Long non-coding RNA from Acipenser ruthenus (sterlet), 532 nucleotides. RefSeq lists it as uncharacterized. The record is from RefSeq and is a predicted model, not a curated record. Lineage: Eukaryota; Metazoa; Chordata; Actinopteri; Acipenseriformes; Acipenseridae. The transcript has 3 exons.
GAAUCCUCGAGGCCCCCUUCCACUCCGGUCUCUCAAGAUAACAUGGCAACAGCAAGGGUCAAACUAAACGUACCCCAAGGAGUGAAUCUUGAGGACCCCAAAGUCAGCGAAGCCAUUUUAGAGCAGAUUCGGGAGCACCUCUCCAAGAACAUUCCAAUGGACGACGUUAAUCUGCGCUGGAGAAAACAAGACGGGGAGAUAUUCCACAAGGAGGAAGAGGAGGAGGAGGAGGAGAAGAAGAAGUACUUCAAGCCGUGAGAUACCAGCGCCCACAAUGACAAGCGUGGGCUUUCAGAGCAGCACUGUCUUAUAUUAAUCUGACAUUAUCUACUGGUUUACAUUAAUCUGACAUUAUCUACUGGUUUACAUUAAUCUGACAUUAUCUACUGGUUUAUAUUACUCUGACAUUAUCUACUGGUUUAUAUUACUCUGACAUUAUCUACUGGUUUAUAUUACUCUGACAUUAUCUACUGGUUUAUAUUAAUCUGACAUUAUCUACUGGUUUAUAUUACUCUGACAUUAUCUACUGGUU